AGGCGUCACCCAUUUCCUGGUCCGGGACUUGCUGUCCGAAUUCCAGGAGAUGUCACAGCAGGGAAUUCCUUGGAUAUUCUUCGUCAGGUUGAUGAGAUCUUCAUUCAAUCGAUCAAAGAUGCUGGAAUCUAUGAUGAAAUUUGGCAAGCUUUUGCUGUCUUCUUACCCGUGAAAACCGUUGGAGUACAAGGAGACCAAAGAACACAUUCCCAUGCUGUUGCACUAAGAGCAGUCACAAGUCAAGAUGGAAUGACAGCAGACUGGUACUACUUCGAUUUCAAGUUCCUUGACGAUGUAUCAAGAAAGAUUUGCAACAGUGUUCGUGGUGUAAAUCGAGUUCUUCUGGAUAUUACAUCAAAGCCUCCAUCAACAAUU
RNAcentral lists this unclassified non-coding RNA (375 nucleotides) under Hevea brasiliensis (rubber tree). Lineage: Eukaryota; Viridiplantae; Streptophyta; Magnoliopsida; Malpighiales; Euphorbiaceae. The record is from RNAcentral.